AUGGCAUACAGUUUUAUUGAUAUUAGAACAGAUCAGAGAAGAAUUAGUAUUCUUGACGAACAGAAACAGAGCAGUAUCUCCUACAGAGCAACUAUUACUGACGCUUCGCAUGUACGCUACAGGAUCAUUUCUCAACAAUGGGUGAUUUCAGUGGAAGUUAUUGGCUGCAUAGAUUGCACACAUAUCCGUGUUCAGUCAUUUGGUGGUGAAAAUGCUGAAUUAUUUCGCAAUAAGAAAGGUUAUUUUUCAAUAAAUACUCAAGUAGUAUGUAAUAGUAAUUUAGAAAUAAUAUAGUUGCUCGCUGGCAAGGUUCUGUACAUGACAGUACGAUUUUCAACAAUAGUCGUUUAAGAGCAAACUUUGAGAAUGGAACAUAUAACGGUUUCUUAUUAGGAGAUUCUGCAUACCCCUUAUGGCAAUACCUUCCAACUCCGUUAAUAAAUCCACGAACUGCUGCAGAACAAUUGUAUAACGAAUCACAUAUUCGUACGCGAAAUUUAAUAGAGCGUCUUUUUGGUAUCUGGAAAAGAAGGUUUCCAAUUUUGGCACUUGGAAUGCGAUACCAUUUACCUAGAGUAAUGACUGUUAUCACUGCGACAGCAGUGUUGCAUAACAUUGCUAGGCAUAAUAAUGAAGUAGAUCUAGAUAUCGAUCCAGAUUUGCAUUUGCCUAUGCCAUGAGACGAAAUGUUAGCAGAUUGCAACAUAAAUAAUGGCAUUCACAAUAACGAAGCUAUUGAUGUAGCGAUUUGAACAGAGUUGAUCCAUAAUUAUUUUACCAAGUAUGUUGCGGUUUUAUCUACAAAUUUUCCAGCUUUUGUCUGUAAAUUUUAUUCGCUAUUAGUAUCCUCAUGUUAUACAUUAAUACAUAAUUUUAAAUUGCAUAUUAAUCAUGUUAUUAUAAAAAAUGUAAACACAUAAUUUAUAAUUAUAAAUUAUUUAUUAUAACUUAUUUCUUUUUCAACCCUUUGUAAUAAUCUAAGGAAUACAGUGACUUCUUGGAUCAUCGAUUAUGGAUUUAAUGCUUGAGAAAACAUUUAACAGAUUCAUUUAAAGACAACUGAUCGAUUUGUGAAACUGCUCUGUGAAAAUAUAAAUUUAGUUAUGUUAAGAUUUAACAAAGAUAUUAGUUUUAGUUCUUUCUUUGUACAUUUCUUGUUUGUGACAUUGUAUUGAAGAAUAUUAUUUUAAUGCAUUUUAUUAUCAUAUAGAAAUUAUCUAAGCAAUAUGAUUUAAAUUAACGAAAUUGUCUUUCUAUUAAUCUAUUUAAUUUGUCUAAGAAUAAUUAAAUCAUAAUUGAAUCAUAUUUGUUAUCAUUUUCAUGUGACAGAAAUACGUGUAGGAGGGAGAGAAAUAUCGAAUAUUAUUGUAUUUAUUAUAACUAUAAUUUUAUAAUAAACGUUAAUUUACAUAA
This is an RNA transcript of Ooceraea biroi (clonal raider ant), 1413 nucleotides long. It is a transcript of the gene named putative nuclease HARBI1, with no coding region annotated. The record is from RefSeq and is a predicted model, not a curated record. Lineage: Eukaryota; Metazoa; Arthropoda; Insecta; Hymenoptera; Formicidae.